Molecule: small RNA, 1070 nt
Filed under: Pan troglodytes (chimpanzee)
Lineage: Eukaryota; Metazoa; Chordata; Mammalia; Primates; Hominidae
Description: retained intron
Source: RNAcentral
AAUGAAAUGUAUUUGACGGGGCUGGGUGAAGUGGCUCAAGCCUGUAAUCCCAACACCUUGAGAGGCUGAGACAGGAGGAUUGCUUGAGUCCAGGAGCUCGAGACCAGCCUGGGCAUAUGCACUGGGCUCAGUUCCUCUCAUUUCCAUCGCGGGAUAUGUUGAUAGAGACAUCCAGCUACUCUGUCAGUCCUCGGGCUGGUUCCCCCGGCCCACAGCGAAGUGGAAAGGUCCACAAGGACAGGAUUUGUCCACAGACUCCAGGACAAACAGAGACAUGCAUGGCCUGUUUGAUGUGGAGAUCUCUCUGACCGUCCAAGAGAACGCCGGGAGCAUAUCCUGUUCCAUGCAGCAUGCUCAUCUGAGCCAAGAGGUGGAAUCCAGGGUACAGAUAGGAGAUACCUUUUUCGAGCCUAUAUCAUGGCACCUGGCUACCAAAGUACUGGGAAUACUCUGCUGUGGCCUAUUUUUUGGCAUUGUUGGACUGCAGAUUUUCUUCUCCAAAUUCCAGGGGAAAAUCCAGGCGGAACUGGGUGAGUAUGUGUCAUGUCCUGAGCCUCCCACACAUGGUUCUCCCGGGUCCCUCCCUGAUCCACAGUUUGAGCCUCUGGACGACCCUGGCUGCAGGCUGGACAGGAAGCACCGGCAGGUGGAGGAGAGCACCUGCUCGCUCUCUCCAUCCACUGCUCAUGAGUUACCCCUCGGACAUCUGGAGGGCUUAGGAUAGGCCCCGGGGCCUGGGAGUCCCCACAAAUUGUCUGUGCCUGUUGCCCGUUGGUUUGCUGUGUGUGUGGUGGGGGGAGGUGUUGAUCCUGAGCUCUGAGGGUGUGUGGGCCACAGUGAGGAACCUGAGAAAAAUUUGUGGGUGAUCCUCGACCUCCCCUGGCCUGAUGCUUUGAGACUUUAUCCAGUUCUGUAUCAACCACUAAAUAGUCUGCUUUUUGUUUCGUGGAAACUCCAGGAUAAACUGGGUGAGAGUGUUAUCACUCGCAGGGAUUUCCUCCCACGCCCUCCCUGGGCCCCCGCUCUGUGACGUCAACCUCUUACAUGUUUUUUGUUUUUGUUUUUCAGAC